RNAcentral lists this ribosomal RNA (253 nucleotides) under uncultured bacterium. RNAcentral's name for it is "partial 16S ribosomal RNA". It matches the Rfam family "Bacterial small subunit ribosomal RNA", at positions 524 to 776 of the family's 1533-position model. The record is from RNAcentral.
UACGUAGGGUGCGAGCGUUAAUCGGAAUUACUGGGCGUAAAGCGUGCGCAGGCGGUUUGAUAAGCCAGAUGUGAAAUCCCCGAGCUCAACUUGGGAACUGCGUUUGGAACUGUCAGACUAGAGUGCGUCAGAGGGGGGUGGAAGUCCGCGUGUAGCAGUGAAAUGCGUAGAGAUGCGGAGGAACACCGAUGGCGAAGGCAGCCCCCUGGGAUGACACUGACGCUCAUGCACGAAAGCGUGGGGAGCAAACAGG